GCGUUGGCAUUGAAAGUGUGGCAGGCGAGCUGCCAACAACGCUCCAUUCCCAGAAAAUUCCCAAUCGGAAGCAGAAGAAUUCUAAACACAACAAAAAGUACUGCAUAUAAUAACCACCUCAAAAAAGAGCCAGCAAACAAUCCCUACAUUAUUUGUUACAAAUUAGACACGCAAAUGACAUCAACAGCGAAAUUGAAUCAGUUAAAAACCAACCCAUUCAAAAUGGAAAAGCAAAUACAAUGCAAAAUAAUUGGAAAUUAAUUGUGCUCAAUUCUACGCGAAGUGCGUGUCAUAUCACAAAAAAAUCGAAGAUAAACACACGAAUAGGUAAUUUCGCCAAACAUAAAUUAAAUCCUUUUAAGUGCAUUCUAUUGUGUGAUUAGAAAAACUAGGAAGUAAAUAACGAAAUUGAUUUAAGAAUGCAAGCGCAUUUCACAACUAUUUUAAAUACGUGCCUCAAACAAGUGAGUUUUUACAUGAAGAUACCACAAUUAAAAAGCAAUUAGAAGAAGUCGGUGGAACAAUAAAUUAAUAAAAUAUCAAAUGGGAUCAUAAAAGGUGAGCAUUGUUUCACAAAGUUAUUAAAACUAUCAGUCAUUUCGUCAUCCAUUUUUCACUUGCUAUAUGAAAUGCAUACAUUUGUUUAGAAAUUGUUUUUUGUUUCUUUAUUAUAUCAGCAUAUAAAUUUCUAAAAAACCUAAUCAUUCCAAACCCAGUUUAAAAUGUCCAUACACUCGUAUUCCUUGCUCAAACUUUGAAAGCUCUGUGAAGCUUUUCGCUAGGAUCAAGGGAUGAGGAUCUCACAACCACCCGAACCCUUGAAAUUGUUUUUCAGCCUUUUGUUUUGUUUUGCUUCGGCUAGAAAAAGCGUCGCAAUAAAAACAGGAAUUCGCAAAAAGCAAAAGUGAGUUGCAAACACAGAUAAAAGUGCGCAUAUACAGAUACAUUUUAGGGAUGAGAAAUGAGGGGAGGAGAAUAAUGAAUGAAAGAAUGGUGGAGAGUGGAGCAAGAGCUGGCGAGAGAGCCAAGCCAGUUUGAAGGCCACUGCGAAGAGAAUCACAUGUGCUUUUCGUGGUUUCGAAGAGGGGCAGUGUGGGGCAGUAGGGCAAAAGUAGAAGGCCCAAGAAACAGGAACAGGAAGAAACGAAAAAACUUGACGAAACAGCACGCUGUGAGUCUGCGAGAGAGGGAAGAGAGUGGUUUUGCCAGUAGAUAGAAACUCUGUCGACGUCGACGGCGACGCUGGCAGAGGCUGCGCCGCGGCAGAGGUGAGAACUUUCACAAAAAAGCGGCGACAUUGAACAGCGGUGCCUUCAACCGAUCGCAUUUGCUGCCUGUUCACCCAAGCCAAUAGAUAAUUCAUAAAGAUAAUCAAAAACCCAAAUAUAAAACUUAAAGAAUUAAAGUUCGCCACAGAAUUAAGUUUGCUUCUUGCCCGAAAAGUGAAAAUUUUCCGUUUUUCUGCCCUUACCAAAUCUGAACAAAGUGCAUGUUGGAAAAACAAAAAGUAUCGGCAAACACAGACACAAAAAGAAAUGUGGCAAAAAACAACAGAAUGGUGGCGGCGAGCUGCGUCAGCAUGGAAAUUUAAUUAGCGACAGUUCAGUUCAGCUGAGCGGCGAUAAGUCGAAAGGAUUGGAUGGCACACUGUACCGCCCACUUGCUCGGCCCCUGCAGCCAUCCACCACCACCCACUGGGCCACGAUGAGGGGAAGGAGGAGAUUUCGUUGAUUUUUGCAUGACGACAGCAAAAAGCGAAAAGGCGGAACAACAAUCGAAAUGCAACUGCACGGUUGUGUGGGUGUGCGAGCGAGGCAGCCUAUGUGAACCAGACAUGCGCGCUCUCUCUCAGCGACUUGAACUUGAAAACUUUUUACUGCCGGCAAAACAAGAGAGAGAACGGAGAAGAGAGAGAGAGAGAGCGCUGAACAGGUAUGUGUAUGUGUGAGUGUUUUCCAUUGAUUAAGUUAAACAAAAACAAAAUCAGAGCUGAGCGCAAGCUUCGCUCCCGCAGCUUUUGAUUUUCGCGAGAGCAGCAAGCAGCUUUUGCGUGGGCGGCUUAAGGCAGCGCAGUCGAAGUCGCUGCCGGCGUCAGCCAACUGUUUGCUGUUUUGUUGUAGGCACAUAGUGUUGCAUACCUAAGGGGAUAGGAAGUAGCGAAGUAGCGGGACUGGACAGCGGAGUGAGAAGCGGGAAAACGGUAGGUGGGAGGCGGGAGGCAGUGGGGGAGGGGCGUGACCUCCACCUGUGCGAGCCCAGCUGCAGCUUCCCCGUUGGACAAGCUGGCAAAGUUUAUUCGGUGACGAGCGGGCGACCGAUGAGGUCAGCAUCACGCAUACGCCUAGUUAUCCCCCGUGUGCCCAGUAUCCUGUUCGCUGUUAUUUUCAGUUCGUUCGCUUGUGAGUGUCCGUGUGCACUUCGUUCCAAGUUCAUUUUAAAGGCGCGUCGCCCUAGUGGCAAAAUCAGGUGUGGAGAAUUGAUUAGCACACAGCCCGAAAAUGGGAGAAAAAUACAAACAAUAUGGUCGCUGCGGUGUGUGUACUUACAUAAAACUCAAGUCAAGUGACGCACCCCAGCAUAUGGCAAUUAAAUUUGAAUAAUUAACCAGCUGAGAACGACACGAACGGAGCUCUCUUCGACACACACACACACACGCACACCAACGGGCAUACGGACGUACUAACACUAGCUCACAUUUGCCAUAUGCAACACUCGUUGUUGUUGUUCUUAGCCUGCACCUUGACCUUUCCACACUCAUGCAGCAGUACGCGUGGGCAGCAGCAGGAUAUUGGAUACACGCGCCCCAUUUCGCGGGAUCGGGGAUAUAUAUAUAUAUAUACAUAUGUACAUGUGCAUGUACACAUACACUCGGCUGGCAGCUGUUUGUAGCCGAAACCAAGGAGACGAGAUGCACGACAAAAACACUUCGGUUGUCACACUGAAAAGAGGACCAGUUGGACCUGCGGAAAGUUUCGCCCACGAGUCACAGAUGGUGUAAGUGCAAUUAAUUAAAUAUCGAGAAAAAUGCAGGAAGUAACUCAGUUCAAAUAGUGAAGAGGGAUAUAAAUGGGUUCAGGUAACAGAGUAGAGUUUAAAGUUUGUGAGAUAAACUACAGAAAAUCACAGAAUCAGAAAAAAGUAAAAGCGAAGUAAAUAUAAAAUAAAUAUAAAAAUUAUAUUUAAAUCGCUAUCGUUUUUAUUGCGCCUCAUCUAUUUAAUGAUGUUUAAAAAAAUACGGCAUUGUUAAAUUCGUAAUGCACUCAGAGUGCCAUUGCAUUUAGUUGUGAAAUUAAAUUAAAUAUGACUAUAUGAAUAAGUUUAGCUCUCGUUUAACUAAAAUUAUAAAUUCAUAUAAACUGCGGCUUAUAUCGCGUUUGCUUAGUGCAAAGAAAAGUUAGAUACAUUUAACAUAAUUAAAAGCAGUAUAAUAAAAUGUGACUUUAGUGGCUCAUUGCGAACUAAUGUUUAAAAACCAAAA
Drosophila sechellia is the source of this 3478-nucleotide long non-coding RNA. RefSeq lists it as uncharacterized. Lineage: Eukaryota; Metazoa; Arthropoda; Insecta; Diptera; Drosophilidae. The record is from RefSeq and is a predicted model, not a curated record. The transcript is spliced from 2 exons.